RNAcentral lists this ribosomal RNA (800 nucleotides) under unidentified microorganism. Its description in RNAcentral is "bacterial SSU rRNA". It matches the Rfam family "Bacterial small subunit ribosomal RNA", at positions 573 to 1373 of the family's 1533-position model. The record is from RNAcentral.
AGGCGGUUUCUUAAGUCUGAUGUGAAAGCCCCCGGCUCAACCGGGGAGGGUCAUUGGAAACUGGGAAACUUGAGUGCAGAAGAGGAGAGUGGAAUUCCACGUGUAGCGGUGAAAUGCGUAGAGAUGUGGAGGAACACCAGUGGCGAAGGCGACUCUCUGGUCUGUAACUGACGCUGAGGAGCGAAAGCGUGGGGAGCGAACAGGAUUAGAUACCCUGGUAGUCCACGCCGUAAACGAUGAGUGCUAAGUGUUAGGGGGUUUCCGCCCCUUAGUGCUGCAGCUAACGCAUUAAGCACUCCGCCUGGGGAGUACGGUCGCAAGACUGAAACUCAAAGGAAUUGACGGGGGCCCGCACAAGCGGUGGAGCAUGUGGUUUAAUUCGAAGCAACGCGAAGAACCUUACCAGGUCUUGACAUCCUCUGACAACCCUAGAGAUAGGGCUUUCCCUUCGGGGACAGAGUGACAGGUGGUGCAUGGUUGUCGUCAGCUCGUGUCGUGAGAUGUUGGGUUAAGUCCCGCAACGAGCGCAACCCUUGAUCUUAGUUGCCAGCAUUCAGUUGGGCACUCUAAGGUGACUGCCGGUGACAAACCGGAGGAAGGUGGGGAUGACGUCAAAUCAUCAUGCCCCUUAUGACCUGGGCUACACACGUGCUACAAUGGACAGAACAAAGGGCUGCGAGACCGCAAGGUUUAGCCAAUCCCACAAAUCUGUUCUCAGUUCGGAUCGCAGUCUGCAACUCGACUGCGUGAAGCUGGAAUCGCUAGUAAUCGCGGAUCAGCAUGCCGCGGUGAAUACGUUC